This 77-nucleotide small RNA is filed under the name Arabidopsis thaliana (thale cress). RNAcentral describes it as "ATSL038920". Lineage: Eukaryota; Viridiplantae; Streptophyta; Magnoliopsida; Brassicales; Brassicaceae. The record is from RNAcentral.
AGAAAAAAUUUGAUGACUCAAGAAUCCUCCGUCCCCACAGACGGCGCCAAAAUGUGGAUGUCGAAUUCACACUCAAG